RNAcentral lists this ribosomal RNA (2933 nucleotides) under Candidatus Marimicrobium litorale. Its description in RNAcentral is "23S ribosomal RNA". It matches the Rfam family "Bacterial large subunit ribosomal RNA". The record is from RNAcentral. Lineage: Bacteria; Pseudomonadati; Pseudomonadota; Gammaproteobacteria; Cellvibrionales; Halieaceae.
GUUAUAUGGUCAAGUGACUAAGCGUAUACGGUGGAUGCCUUGGCAGUCAGAGGCGAUGAAGGACGUAGUAGCCUGCGAAAAGCUUCGGGGAGGUGGCAAACAACCUUUGAUCCGGAGAUGUCCGAAUGGGGAAACCCACCCAGUGUAAGCUGGGUAUCCUUAACUGAAUUCAUAGGUUAAGGAGGCGAACGCGGAGAACUGAAACAUCUAAGUACCCGUAGGAAUAGAAAUCAAUUGAGAUUCCCCCAGUAGCGGCGAGCGACCGGGGAACAGCCUGCAAGUGAUAGCAGUUGGGUUAGUGGAACACUCUGGAAAGGGUGGCGAUAGAGGGUGAUAGCCCCGUACACGAAAGCCUGAUUGUGGUACUGAGCUUGCGACAAGUAGGUCGGGACACGUGUUAUCCUGACUGAACAUGGGGGGACCAUCCUCCAAGGCUAAAUACUCCUGACUGACCGAUAGUGAACCAGUACCGUGAGGGAAAGGCGAAAAGAACCCCGGAGAGGGGAGUGAAAUAGAACCUGAAACCGUAUACGUACAAGCAGUGGGAGCACCCUCGUGGUGUGACUGCGUACCUUUUGUAUAAUGGGUCAGCGACUUAUUGUCUGUAGCGAGCUUAACCGUUUAGGGGAGGCGUAGGGAAACCGAGUCUUAAUAGGGCGACUUAGUUGCAGGCAAUAGACCCGAAACCGGGCGAUCUAGCCAUGGCCAGGUUGAAGGUGCCGUAACAGGCACUGGAGGACCGAACCCACUUAUGUUGAAAAAUGAGGGGAUGAGCUGUGGCUCGGAGUGAAAGGCUAAUCAAGCCCGGAGAUAGCUGGUUCUCCUCGAAAUCUAUUUAGGUAGAGCGUCGUGUCUUACCCUGGGGGGUAGAGCACUGUUUCGGCUAGGGGGUCAUCCCGACUUACCAACCCGAUGCAAACUCCGAAUACCCAGGAGUACAAUCACGGCAGACAGACAGCGGGUGCUAACGUCCGUUGUCGAGAGGGCAACAACCCAGACCGCCAGCUAAGGUCCCUAAUACCAGUUAAGUGGGAAACGAUGUGGGAAGGCUUAGACAGCUAGGAGGUUGGCUUAGAAGCAGCCACCCUUUAAAGAAAGCGUAAUAGCUCACUAGUCGAGUCGGCCUGCGCGGAAGAUAUAACGGGGCUAAAUUGGUAACCGAAGCUGCGGAUGCACGGUUUCUUCGGAUUCUGUGCAUGGUAGAGGAGCGUUCUGUAAGCCUGUGAAGGUGUACCGGGAGGUAUGCUGGAGGUAUCAGAAGUGCGAAUGCUGACAUGAGUAACGAUAAGGGGGGUGAAAAACCUCCCCGCCGGAAGAUCAAGGUUUCCUGUCCAACGCUAAUCGGGACAGGGUGAGUCGGCCCCUAAGGCGAGGCAGAAAUGCGUAGUCGAUGGGAAGCGGGUUAAUAUUCCCGCACUUCUUAUUAUUGCGAUGGAGGGACGGAGAAGGCUAGGCCAGCGCGGUGUUGGUUGUCCGCGUUUAAGGUUGUAGGCUGGGGUUUUAGGUAAAUCCGGAACCCUAAGGCUGAGAACUUAUGACGAUCCCCUGGGGAGACCCUCGGGAGAAGUGGUUGAUGCCAUGCUUCCAAGAAAAGCUUCUAAGCAUAGAUAGUAAGGAACCGUACUGUAAACCGACACAGGUGAUCAGGUAGAGAAUACCAAGGCGCUUGAGAGAACUCGGGUGAAGGAACUAGGCAAAAUGGUACCGUAACUUCGGGAGAAGGUACGCCGACUUUGGUGAUGGGACUUGCUCCCUAAGCUGAGGUUGGUCGAAGUGACCAGGUGGCUGCGACUGUUUACUAAAAACAUAGCACUCUGCAAACACGAAAGUGGACGUAUAGGGUGUGACGCCUGCCCGGUGCCGGAAGGUUAAUUGAUGGGGUUAUCUUCGGAGAAGCUCUUGAUCGAAGCCCCGGUAAACGGCGGCCGUAACUAUAACGGUCCUAAGGUAGCGAAAUUCCUUGUCGGGUAAGUUCCGACCUGCACGAAUGGCGUAACGAUGGCCACACUGUCUCCACCCGAGACUCAGUGAAAUUGAAAUCGCUGUUAAGAUGCAGUGUACCCGCGGCUAGACGGAAAGACCCCGUGAACCUUUACUAUAGCUUCACACUGGACUUUGACCUUACUUGUGUAGGAUAGCUGGGAGACUUUGAAGCGUGCGCGCUAGCGUACGUGGAGUCGUCCUUGAAAUACCAGCCUGGUAAUGUUGAGGUUCUAACCUAGGUCCCUUAUCGGGAUCGGGGACAGUGUGUGGUGGGUAGUUUGACUGGGGCGGUCUCCUCCCAAAGAGUAACGGAGGAGCACGAAGGUGCGCUAAUCAUGGUCGGAAAUCAUGAGGUUAGUGUAAAGGCACAAGCGCGCUUGACUGCGAGUCUGACAAGACGAGCAGGUACGAAAGUAGGUCUUAGUGAUCCGGCGGUUCUGAAUGGAAGGGCCGUCGCUCAACGGAUAAAAGGUACUCCGGGGAUAACAGGCUGAUACCGCCCAAGAGUUCACAUCGACGGCGGUGUUUGGCACCUCGAUGUCGGCUCAUCACAUCCUGGGGCUGAAGCCGGUCCCAAGGGUAUGGCUGUUCGCCAUUUAAAGUGGUACGCGAGCUGGGUUUAGAACGUCGUGAGACAGUUCGGUCCCUAUCUGCCGUGGGCGUUGGAGAAUUGAGGGAAGCUGCUCCUAGUACGAGAGGACCGGAGUGGACGAACCUCUGGUGUUCGGGUUGUGUCGCCAGACGCAUUGCCCGGUAGCUACGUUCGGACAGGAUAACCGCUGAAAGCAUCUAAGCGGGAAGCCUCUCCCAAGAUUAAUUCUCCCUGACCCCUUGAGGGUCCUGAAGGGCCGUAGAAGACUACUACGUUGAUAGGCUGGGUGUGUAAGCGUUGUGAGGCGUUGAGCUAACCAGUACUAAUUGCCCGUGAGGCUUGACCAUAUAACUCAGAU